UUACUCAGAAACUUUUUUAAAAGAAAAAUUCCUUCUUAAAAAUAACAGAGAGAUUCAGAACAAAUGCUAUACUGGACCAGAUACUGGAAAAACAGAAGUUAGGUAAAACUAACCUGGACAUUCUUAGCCCUUUGCCUGCCAUUUCUCAGCUCCAAAUCUGCCCUUGCAUGCUCCUCUCUUUUAUGCUGUGUCUGGGACGCUGCAAUGUUCCUUUCACAGAUUUCUUUGCUAGCUGCCUUCCUGCAAAGCUCUGUCAAUAGCAGGCACUAGAGGAAGAUUGGAAGGUAACAGAAAAGAAGAAGGGACAUUCUUCUUUCAACUUGCUCUUUCAGCCAAUGUUACCCCCAAAACAACACUUUACUUUACAAAUAGUAGUUGGUUCCAGCUUCCAGCUACUUUGGGUGCUCCUUGAGAACCAACCUCAUUGAGCCCUCUCAGAAAUAUCAAUAGCAGCUGAGUGAUGCUUUCUCUUCAUAGACCCUCCUCCAAGUUUCUCGGUACUGGUGACUCCCAACCUCUUCCCUUUAGUUAUUCCAGCACUACAAGAAUUAGUUGCUCUCUGUAGCCCUCUAGGCUACCUCAGCAUUGCUUUCUGCUCUUUCAGCUUUCUGACACCUGAAACAAAUCCUCUAUAUUAAAUCCCUGAUAAGGUUUGGAUCUGUGUCCUUACCCAAAUCUCAUCUCAAAACCUCGAAUUGUAAACCCCACAUGUUGAGGAAGGGCCCUGUAAUCCCCACGUGUUGAGGGAGAGAAGUGAUUGGAUUAUGCUGUUCUAGCGAUAGUGAGUGAGUCUCACAAGAUCUGAUGGUUUUCAAAAGUGGCAGUUUUUGUCCUACACUCUCACUUCUCUCUCCUGCCGCCUUGUGAAGAAGGUCCUUGCCUCCCCUUCGCCUUCCAUCGUGGUUGUAAGUUUCCUGAGGCCUCCCCAGCACUGUGGAACUGUGAGUCAAUUAAACCUCUUUCCUUUAUAAAUUACCCAGUCUCAGGCAUUUAUUUAUAGCAGUGUGAGAACAGGAUAAUACAAUCCUUCUGGUGAUUUUUAUUUUUCUAAUUGGACCCUGACUGGUGACAUAGGGGAAGGGAAAGGGCAGGAAACUAUAUAUAUCUAUAUAUAUAGAUAUAUGGAGUAUAUAUAGAUAUAUGGAGUGUAUAGAUAUAUGGAGUAUAUAGAUAUAUGGAUUAUAGAUAUAUGACGAUUAUAUAUAUAUAUAUAUGUCUUCUGUAUACCAAGUAUACAAAUAAUAAAUAUCAAUAAUUUUAUAUGUUACUAGUAAUAGCUGUGAUUUAUUGAGACCUAGUCUAUGACUUUCCCUGGCUACUUUCUUCUCAUGUUGUAAGUUUCUGCUUGAAUUUAAUCUCAGAGAGGUUUUCCCUGAUCGCCUUAUCAAAAGCAACUGCUAUUCCCUGUUAUUCUCUGCUUCAGCUCAUAAACCUUGUCCUUUAUAGUACACCAAAAAAAGCACAAUCAUUUGAUUUUUCUGGUCUGUCUUCCCCACUAGAAUGUGAGCUCCAUGAGAGGGAGGCCCUUGCUGGUCUUGUUCACGGCUGUCUCCCUAAAGCCUAGCAUAGUGCUUGGCUCAUAGUAGAUGCCAGUGCCAUGCUUUUGGACUUUCCAGUCUCCAGAACCGU
RNAcentral lists this long non-coding RNA (1629 nucleotides) under Homo sapiens (human). RNAcentral's name for it is "HSALNT0134925". Lineage: Eukaryota; Metazoa; Chordata; Mammalia; Primates; Hominidae. The record is from RNAcentral.